ACACUUAGGCUAUGAAUAUAGCUUCUCGUAGAUCUUGCACGUGAAGUGAAGUGUUGAAUAUUAUUGUCAGAUUAAUUUUCAUCUGACAGGCUUCUUGGACAAAGCAAAAAUGGGCUUAUGGGAAUAUUUUUCAUCUGGUUGUCUAUCUUUUGACAGCUACUGAAAAAGAAGAAUACUGCAGGUGCUUCUUUUAAAAUGAAAACACAAUUUCAGCUACAAGAAGGGCAGUGAGCAAUAAUAUUUCACACAGGAAUUGAAAUACAUCUCUGCAAAUGAGCUUACAUUGAGACAACUCUUCUGAUAGCUUCUUGAGAGGGAACAGGAGUGGAGAAAUACUCUUUGAAAAUAACCUGCACCUUGAAUUACUCCAUUCCCUGUUCUCUCCAGUUGCUGCUCUCAUGUCCCAGAACAGAGGGCAGGGAAGAGCAGUGGCUGCUGCUGCUGGUCCUGCCUGUGCCUCCCCCAGGCAGUCUCCAUCUCUGCCCCGGGAGCUGUUGGAAGUCAGAGCAAGCCAGUCUGCUGCCCAGCUUCUUCUCAGGGUGCUGUGCAGGCAAGCGCUGUGCAAAGUUCUCCCAGUGAGGAUGAAUAAACAUUUAAAAGCAAUUUGCAAGGUUUUAUAGUUGUCAAUUUUAUUGCUGCUAUAGUAUUUGAAGUAGUCUGAGGUGGAAAAUCCUGUUGGCAGACAGCUGCUUUUGCACUUGCACCUCACCAAACAACUAUAUUUAGCUUUUAUUGCAUAUUCUUGGCCAGAUUGUAUGCAUGAAUAAGGAUCACCCACUUUGCUCCAGGACUCGUCUCACUGACAACGCGAUUCCCAGUUACUACGCCAGCUUCUAGGAAAAAUGUUCUUACUCUAUAUAAACAUGUUCCAGAGCAUGAGAGACGGAGGAAGACAAAGUUAACUCUUUGGAAGAUUUCAGACUCAAUAAGAGAUGUUUUCUCUUUGGCAUGUUCCCUCAUUCUCUAUCCAUAUAUCUAUACAGAAAGUUUCAAUGCAAAGCCUGUACCUGGUGUGUGUUGUACCCCUGCCCAGGAGCUGGUGUGGGAUAGCUGUUCUCAGCUCUCAUGCUGCCCAGCUUAAAUCUGAACAUACAGCUGCUACAUCCAGGCUGGGUUUACUUCAGCUGCUGAAGGAGCACAAAAAUUAAAUUGCAAAGGGAUACGGUGCUUGCUGGUACCCAUACGAGUGCUCUUAUCCUGCAGGGCCUGGUAGGCUUCCCCACUCCGUGGGAGACACGGAGCAGAUGCUGCAGGACCGGUGUGGCAGAGAAGAGGUUAAUCUGGGUGCUAAUUAAGGAGUAGCUGGAAGGAGACCCAUCUGCAGAGGGUGCCCUGAGGGAGGCAGGUAGCAGAUGUUACUGAAGCGUGGGAGGCAGGGAGAGGCCAAGAAGAGCAGAGCAGAUGGGCGCAGAGGCAGAGCCGGGGGGACGCAGCGAGGUGCCCAGCUGCGUGUGGCCCUGGGAGCCAGGGGCAGGAGAUCCGGGCAGCGAGGGGCAGAGCUGGGGCCACCUCCUGCGGCAGCGCCCCGGGCAGGCUGGAGAGGGAGCCAGGCUGAAGAGCUCUUGCCCUGGCCAUCAUUUUUGGCAAGGAAAUGUGGUUCUGACCUGGGAUGGGACAAGCCCGCAGGGGUUCCCCGCUCUGCCCAGUGUCCCUCCCGUGUGCUCACUGGUGGAGCCCAGUGACAGCAACAUGCCCGUGCCAGACCCAGGGAGGAGCGCGCAUCCUGGGGCUGCAGCAGCGCAGUGCUCAGAAGCCUGGUCUCUGGUGGUGUGGCACUGCCUGAGGGCUCCUGCUGCUGGCCGGUCGGGGUCUGCACUGAGGCCACCACAACCGCUCUGGUUUUCUCUGGCCAGCCUGUAGGAGGGAAGCUGUCACCAGAGCCUGACUGCUCCAGUGCUGCCAUUAACACACCAAGCUGCGAGGCAAGGGCUGACUUUUCCUUGCUGCUCAAGGUGUGCUCUUCCUUCACAGUGGAAAAGAGAAGUAGGAGGGAGGCACGGCAGAGCCAGAACAGAGUAUGGGCCACCAAAUCUCAGAGUGUCUCUGAGCAGCAUGUGCUGAAAAGUGCCGCUGAGCAUGGCGGGUACUACAGACGUGGGCUGCAGCACGGUGCCCUCCGCUUCCCAGCUGCAGUGUUUCCCUUCUGCAGUCUCUGGAGCAAGGCCAGUGCCAUUACAGCUCUGGUUUGGAGCUCCAGGUGAAAUUUGGUAUGAUUUUGCAGAAAGUAAACACAUCCAGCCUCCCAAAGUGCAGACUGAACACAGCAACCUUUCCUGUGAUGGCAGCAAAUUGCCGUAAUGGGUUGUCAGAUCAUUUCAGAAACAAGUGUCGGCAGAGGUUCUGCAGAAACCCAAUGUAAAUGCACCAGAAGUGAGAUCUGUGACACAAAGUAAUUUCUCACCCUGGCGCACUGAUAUGUAAAUACUUCAGCUAAAAUUCAAGCCCAAACUGCUGGAGGGCAAUGCCCAUGGAAAAAAACACUGCAUCACGCUUGAUAGAUGAAGAUGUCGGAGCACAAGAAACUCUGAUCUGCCUCAGGCUGCCAUAAACAGCAAGGACGGAGCUGCCUCCAACGCAUCGCAGCAGCAACCUGAGGUCGGCGGCCAGCCGGCAUCACCCACCUGGGUGAGGGCACUCCGUGGCAGCCCCAGCCCCAGCCCCGCCGUGCAGACGCCAGCAGCAUGCAGCCUGUGGCACCCACAGCUGGGCAGUGCCAUUGCCGCUGGGACACCAGUGGGUGAGUGAAGGUCGGCCCGCGAGGCAGCCCCUCCCCAGCUGUCCCAUUGGAAACGAAGGCUCCAGGUUUGGGCCAGCUCCUGAAUUCUCUGCUGCGGAGCUCCAUGGGCUGAUGAGACCAGCUGGUAUCCUUGCUGCUCUCUGAUGUGCGAGUUACUCUUUGGUUGGAGAAAGCUGAAGUAUUCUGCAGCAAUGACACAAUACAGAGCACUCCUGGCUGCGCACAGCUGCUGACCUGCACAUGCCUGCAUGGGCACCGUGUGAACAGAACAGUCACCGUGCAAGACCCAGCUGGUGUGAAUGUUUGCAAAUAGGGAGCAAUAAAGAAAACCAAUGCUGACUAAGGAAACAGUCACUCAGAACUAGAGCAAACAUUUGAGAAUGCUGUUUGAAGCAAUCUAUUGUCUCCGCUAUGGCUUGAAUAAAUAGUUUAUCCUCAGCAUACUGUUAAGCUAUAGUGCUUUAAAUAAAAUUACACAAGUGAACCUGAACAGUUCAUUGACAUUUGCUGUCAGGAUUGCUGUAAUUUAUUUAUUUUCAACAGAUCCCACUGCAAAGCUGAGGUUUCCAGCACAAGCUAGCAAGCAGGCGAGGUCUGUAAACUUGCUGGGAGGAGUUUUCGGAGCUAGAAUAGCAGUAAACCAUGAGUCAUUCUGGUGGGUCUCCUUUGAAGCGUGUGUCACACAGAGAAACAGAUGGGUUCGAUUCCCCACACGGGGAAACUUCCUGGUCGCCUCUCCUAGCGUGGCUCGCUGCUGCCGUGCCCUUUCUCAGCUUCACAUGGUUCAAUGUCUGCAAGCGCCUGCGAUGCCUUCGCUCUCUGGUACGUGCAUGGUUAAGCCUUCUGGCAAACACUCACUUCCUAGUGGCUGCCCAGCCCCCUUGCUAUUAACAGGAUUUGGCUAAUUAGCCGCAAGCAGUGCUGUUCUCCCUCAGCAAUGUAAAGGGUUUACUAUUUUUAUCUGACUCUGGAUGUUUUUGGUUCCUAGGGGAUUAAGGUCAGAGGGCACAUAUUUAUUCAGGCGCUGGAAUUCUUACAUCGUUUUUCCAUUACUUGGUUCAGAAGGAGGAGCCUUGGCCUUUCAGCUCCCUCUUUUCUUCUCCUCUCUCUCCCAUCCCUCUCGCUGCACCCCAGGCGCUUGCUGCUCUCCCUUCCUCCCUCCUUGGAGCGGGGAACCAGCUCCUCUGGAAGAGGAGCCUGCAGCAAGAAUGUGUUUUACUUUCACUAGUGGUACAGAGGCAUGUUAACCAAACAUUUUGUAUUUAAACACGAGUGGUGUCCAAGGAGAGUGAAGGAGUCCUGGAGUCACUUCAUACAAUGCGCUGUUGUUUAUCUGCAAGCAAAACAAAACUAAAAGUUUAUUCUAAUGCAUUUUUGAAGCUAUUAGCUUUGUGCAUUGCUUGAAAAGAAGUGUGUUGCCUUGCAGGACAAUUUUAUUUUCCCACAGAAGAAUUCUGCUGGGUACAACCGUAAAAACCUCCAUACGCUGAACUUGGUACUUCGUAUGGUAUUUAAGUAUUUCCAGUACUUUGAGGAACAGCUUGAAAACAUUCCCAACACAGGCACACCUCUGGUUAGCUGAAUCCCACCAUAUGCAAUGCCUUUAAGAUGGACUGCUGAAAAAGGAGUAAGUUUUCAUCGCUAGUUUUAAGAACAAGAAAUCAAAGCAUCUUCUAAAGAUACUAUGGUCCCUGUUGUUUCAGGACUGGUUCCCUGCCAGUGCUUAACUUACAGUUAAUGAAGAGAUUAACUGCUGUCGUUUUGUUUGCUUUCUAGUGGAAAAAUGCAUGUUAUGAAGCAUUUUCUUCUUGUGUGCACUAUUUCAACAUCCACAUGUGAUACAACAAUAUAAAAUGAUCAAGACGCCACUUCAGAAAUGCACCUCCUGCAGAAGGAUGAUGAGAUUUGUGAUGAGCCUUAGAUCAUGUAGGAAUUUCUUCAAGAGCCUCAAGCUGGCCCCCAAAAUUAUGCUUUCUGCUCUUAAUUUAAAGCUUUGCACAUGCUACAGACAAUCUAUUUUGCCAGAGCAGCACAGCUGCUGAUCAUGAUCUUCCCUCAUGUGAGUUAAUCUGGUGGAUAUGUAGACGCUAGGUAGUGGAGGGCCUUGUGAGAUGACUGGAGAUGCUGAGCGUGGCUGGACAGGAGCUCCCCGGAGGCAGCCGAGCGCGCUGGCAGGGUGGGACGCGCUCCUGCCACCCAGGUGGGACGUGCCGCACGGCUCGGCUCUGGCUGAGGUUUCCUGCGGGCUGAUGGCCCCAUGCUCAGGUAUGUCACAUUGCUGCAGUGAAGGUGAGCAGCAGGCCUGUGUAUAACAGUGGAUAUCAGUUUGUCUGUGGCAGAAGUAGCCAGGAGAAACAGCCCUGGGAGAAGGGGCUACUGGGCGGGCACAACUUGCCUUGCUGAGCAACGCCUGCAUCAACCUGCUGGGCAGCCAGGCAAAGCCCUAGGUACAGACCGCAUCUACUGGCUGCUGUAGCACAGAUCUGGAGAUACCAAAGGGUUGAGAGCUUUCCCAAGAGAUUUCCCUCGCCUCCCUCCCCUCUGCCACCCGUGCAGGCAGGGCUGGGACAGGCAGCACUCUCCUCCCUGGGCAGGCGCUGCCGGACGGGCGGCGGUGACGUGGGGCAUGCGUGGGAAGGAGGAGGUCUGAGCUGCGUGCGGGCUCUGGGCUUUGGGCACGGUGCCUCCGAGGCGGAGGAGGGCCUGUGAGCUUCUUUUUGCUGUGGGCCAAGAGGGGAGGUGCUGGGGUUGCUCCAGUGCAGAAAACACCCGUGGAGACAGCCCCUCGGUGCGCCAAAGGCUGUAAUUAGCAGCAUGCAGAGGAAGCUCUGUUUGGCCUUUUCUGCACAGCAACUAUUGCAAUGAUUUCGGCAGCUCCAAAACCAGGGAUUACCCGAGUGUUGGUGAUUCACAGGCAGGGCAUGAGAUGUUAGUGUUCCGUUUGUCUUUUGCAACACAUUUUUGGCUGGAAAUCUGAAACCUCCACAAGUUACGCUUAGGCAGUAAUGAGCAUAUAUGGAUAUCGGUCCUGGUUUUCUUUUCAUGCUAAACUCAUCUCCAGUGGUGAAGUAAUUUAUAAGUUCUGACCCCUUUGCUCCCACCGUCCCACACAGUAAUGCACAGAGGUCAAUGGUCUUUAAAGCCUGCAUCAAUUCUGAGCCGUCUUUCUGUGUUGCUCAUGACUACACUGUAAAAUACGCCACAAAAUAAAAAUGUUUGGGCACAGAAGGGAGAGAAAUAUGGUACACAUUUAACAAUAACAUUUCUAUAUAGAAUUCCAUAGUGUAUUGAACCUAUUUAAUGAGUUUUCUAGAUUAAGCUGAAGUCUGGGGAAUUUUUAUUAUAAUGCCAUAUCCCAUAAAAAUAUCUAUGGUCCUGUGAGAACAGACACCAUAUUAAUCUAUUUUUUUUUUUAAUGCUAGGUGAUUAGGUAAUAGAGAUUUUGCUCAGAUGAUAUUGACACUAAUACUCUUUGUGUGAUUGAGUUAUAAAAUAUUCUGUCCCUCAAAGCCUUCUCCACCCCAGACCCAUGACAUGGCACAAAAAGAGUGUUAAUGCAAGUGGCUGUGUAAUCUGUGGGGUGUACCCUAAAGAGAGUCCCUGCCUUGAACUAUGUCAGGACACAUCACAUUUACAUUUUGAUACCAACCAGGAAGACCUCACGGACAGCUCACAGUGGAAUGGAGACUGACGGAUUUGUAAGGAACAGCCCACACUUUGCCAACCCACUUCUGUAAUGGGCCAAGGCUUUGUGGCUCUGUCCAGCUUUGUCUUCUGCAGAGCUGUGGGGAAGCACGUCCUGGGAUCUGGCCUCCUUUGGGAUGAUUUCAACACGCAAGGAUGAUGCACAGCCUGCCGCUGUGUCCUCUACCACAAGAUCCCAUCACUCGUUUAUAACUCAGUGUUUGAGGUUUGCUUAACCUCAGGAGGUUAUUUGAGGAAAAACUUUUCUAGGAAAAAAAAAAAAAAGGCACAGUAAAAGAAAAGUACCUGGUAUCAGGUGUAGCUGGAGGUUCGUCUCAGGCACAGAAGGGUCAGGAGCCCAUGGAAACAGCAGAGCUGGCCUCAUCACAUGCACACUCACCCAAACUACAUUAUAUUCCCCAUCUGAAAGAAAUCAACUUCUCAGAAACAUGAAGUGGCAUAAAUUAUGCAUGAAUUGUUUCCUUGCAAGGCCCCGCCUGAGUUGUUUCCUGGUGAGACCUGGAAAGCUGCAGCCGCGGGGCUGCCCCAGCGCCUGGCGGGCGGCCGGGGGCCGGCGGGUAAUGGGAGGUGGAGGUGGGGGGCCACCAGGGAGACCCCAGCCCAGGCCAAAAACGUGAAAGGACCAGAGGGUGGGUAAUGGUUUUCAUGCUGAAAAUCACUGGCCUUCUGUGAUGAGGGUAUUUUUAUGCUCAUUAUGAAAUUGCUUAAGAUAAACGUUAAUUCUCUUAGCAUGCCAACAUGCUCACGGCCCCCCUGUGGAUUUCUAUUUUGUUUUGGGUUCUUUUUUUUUCUUUGCUUUUAGGAAAAUGUUUGUCUUCCAAGGCAUAAAUAUAAUAAAUACAACUUUUCAAAAACAGUCUUGCAAUUACAUUCUCCUAUUCAAUGAGCAUUUCAUGCUCAACAAGCUACGAUUUCUCUUACUGCUUUCCUCCAUGCUUGUCUCUUGACGCUGUGGUCUUUUUUGUUUGUUUAGUAUUUUGUUUUUGUUUUGUUACCAUUUUGUAUGAACAUGAAGGAUUGAUACCAGAGCUUGGUAUUUCUUAGUGUCCCCUCUUACACCAGUCUUCAUCUGCUGUUUCAGCAGAAUUGGUUGAAAGUGCUCAAUGUUCUUCUUAUUCUUAAAAAAAAAUAAAAAAAUAAAAAAAUAAAAAAUGAGAGAGAGAGAAAAAAGCAAGCUAUGCAGUACCCACAGAAACUUACGUAAACUUUCAGAAAGUACCUUGUUUUUCAUAAAUACUUAAGAAAUAUAUUUCAAGAUGCUACUUACUGGCUUACUUCCUGUGAGAAGGGACAACAAAAGCCACAUACUUCUUGGCUCCUUCAGGUAAGUGGCAUUUCUCACUUCUGACCUUUGCUACGGUUGGAAAUCUGUUUCAUCGUUCCCAACUGGUGGUUUUCCUGUGUAGAGCAGUGAGGUUUUGCAGUAAUGAAGUAAAUAGUGUGUGUGUGUGUGUGUGUGUGUACACACGUGUUUAUGUAUUAAAAACGGAGCCGGAGGAAAUGGCCGUUCACGAACUGUCUCAAAUAUUGUUGCGGUACUCUGGGAGGCAGGUGUGCAGAAGAGUAAUCAGUAGUUAGCUAUUUAUAUCCUGCUUGCUCUAAUCUGUUCCGUAUAUUUAUAAAAGCUUUCAUAUCACACCUUCAUAUACAUCGCUAAAGCCAUAUAAUAGAAACUGACCUUUAGCAAUGAGAAAAUAAACCUAGAUUAUCACCAGCAGACCAAGUGAUAUAAACCAAAUUGAAGUAAUUACCUCUGAAUGAUCUCCACAGAGUGACUGAAAAUUAAGUCUGAGCUGCCCUCUGUGCUCUACAGGAGAGAGGGCACUGCGGGAGCACACAGCUCCUGCCGAUGCUGUCAGCAAGUGCCUGCCAAGCUCCCUCAUCACCGCCGCAGCACUUCGCUCCUUGCAAAUUCUCUGUCUACUUCUAAAACGUAUUUAGCUCCUGUACUGAUAUUCUAGCGAGGUAAAUAUAUUUGCCUUUGGAAAGUUGCAUGUCCUUACUCUUUCACUGAGCUGGUGAUGGUCUUUAAAUACUUUUCCAUUUUUGUAUCAACAAAAUGUUUUGGAGAUGUGAACAUUAGUUUCAUGUGCUGCCUUACAGAGGAUGGAGACAAAAGCUCCAAGGUUUUCCUCCCUAUCCUAAGGACUGAGAAUUUGACAGCCAGGAUGCUGCAUGCAGCAGCAAGGAGGUCCCUGCCCCUCUGAGUCUCUGUAAGUGAUAAGCCACAGAUGAACAAAAGCAGAUUUGGUCCAUGAGAAACAGGUUGAGGGGGUGUAUUCCUCUGCCACCGAGCAUCCGUCUGCGACCUCGCUAGCUUUCUCCAGCCUGAGGAGGUUCAGACUUGGGAAGCGUGAAGCAAGCCCCGGUGGUUCAGAAAAGCAUCGCAGAGGCAUUGACUCGUGUUCUUCACGCUGGACCAAAGGCGCAGCGUGACGGCGCCACGAGCCCGACGUCUCCCACAGCCUCUCCUCCCGGCUUGCCGCGAGGCCCCGGCAGCACACUGGAGUGCCAGCAGGCGUGGUAGGAAGGCAGAAGGUGAAACCCCGAGGGUAUCCCCAAAGCAGCACGGCAGCUGUGGUGUUCACUGCAGUAUGGGGAUAGAUCACGAUGCAAGUCAGACUCAGACUGAAUAAAUUAAUGGUGCUGCAGCUUUCCAAUGCUACAGGCCUAACCUUUCCCAAUUCCUGUUGUUCCGAACGCAGCUUCCUGCCUCGGCGUGUGAACAAUGCUGGGAAUGAUUCUCGUGAUUUCCUGGGGCACUGUCUUCCUAUCGGACACAGCUUUUAAAGGGUCAAGACCAUAUGAUAAACAGUCACUGCGUUCUUCUCCAGGAAUAGCUGCAUUUCACUUGUAGAUGAACUAUCCUGACACAUAAAGUUCAUGCAGUGUUUCAGGGCUUCUCGAGAAGUGCUUGCAAGGCUGACAUAAUAAAGAAGGAAGAUCUUUGUGAUGUAAACCUCCCUGCACUACUGUAGAUUUCCUUGCACCAUUUUACAUGUGGCAUUUAAACUGGCCAUGUCCACUAGGGACUUUUCAAGCCUGCUGGCUCAUACCACACCUGGAAAUGGAAAUGCUUUUAAUUUUUGCAGUGCCACAGCUGUUCUAUUUUAAAUGGACCAAACUUAAAACAGCUACAUGUGGUGGAGCCUGGCACAUGGAACAUGUCUGUUGAAGAGGCUGGAACUUUUAACACAGUGUGAUAAACAGAAACUAAAUACCAUGAAAUAAAAUGUGGUCAAUAAUUA
Molecule: long non-coding RNA, 9690 nt
Organism: Anas platyrhynchos (mallard)
Lineage: Eukaryota; Metazoa; Chordata; Aves; Anseriformes; Anatidae
Source: RefSeq, a predicted model, not a curated record